UGAGGAAUAUUGGGCAAUGCCCGCAAGGGUGACCCAGCAACGCCGCGUGGAGGAUGAAUGUCGUAAGAUUGUAAACUCCUGUUAGAGGGGAAGAAUAGUACCGGUUGGACCGGUAUAUGACUGUACCCUCAGAGAAAGCCCCGGCUAACUACGUGCCAGCAGCCGCGGUAAUACGUAGGGGGCAAGCGUUGUCCGGAUUUACUGGGGGUAAAGGGCGCGCAGGCGGGAUAAAAAGUCAGUGGUGAAAUCCUACAGCUUAACUGUAGAACUGCCUUUGAUACUUUUAUUCUUGAGUUCGGGAGAGAGAGACGGAAUUCCAGGUGUAGUGGUGAAAUACGUAGAUAUCUGGAAGAACACCAGUUGCGAAGGCGGUCUCUUGGUCCGACACUGACGCUGAGGCGCGAAAGCGUGGGGAGCAAACA
This 422-nucleotide ribosomal RNA is filed under the name uncultured bacterium. Its description in RNAcentral is "bacterial SSU rRNA". It matches the Rfam family "Bacterial small subunit ribosomal RNA", at positions 355 to 774 of the family's 1533-position model. The record is from RNAcentral.